Solanum lycopersicum (tomato) is the source of this 2545-nucleotide non-coding RNA. Lineage: Eukaryota; Viridiplantae; Streptophyta; Magnoliopsida; Solanales; Solanaceae. The record is from RefSeq and is a predicted model, not a curated record.
AUAUUAUAUAUAUAUAUGUGACAUAUCAGAAAUCUAAAAUAACGAUUUAAUAAAAGUUUGCACUCUUGUAUCAUCUAUACAUGGUUCUACAUAUAAAAUGACCAUAUAAAUCAAACCUUUAUUUUUAAUGAAUGCACGAACACGUACACAACAUUGUCCCACACCCUUUGAUGUUUGUUUGUGCAUUGAAUUAUGAUACAUUUAGUUGUCCACUUGAUAAUCAAAACACUAUAGAAAGUCGAAAUUUAUGCCCCCACUUGCUUUUGACUAUCUACUUAUUAUAUUAUAGUGUUUGUAAAAUUGGCUUUUUAGGACCACCUCCGUAUAUCUUGUAUUCUUCGUAUACAUAAAAAUAAUUAAAUUCAUUCAACUCAAAAAGUUUGCCCUCAUUGGAUAUUGUUUGCUAAAAAAGCUACUACUCCAAUAAUGUACUAACAUAUCCAAAUAGAUAACAUUCAAACAGUAUUUAUUUAUGUUACGUCAAGUCAAAUGUAAUCACAUAAAUUGAACGUAAAUGAAGAGGAGGGUUAUAUAUGAAGCCUUACAUAUCUACUUAUUAGGGAAGUGGUCUGAGGAAUAGCAGAAAUUGCAACUGUACUGUUGACAAGUCGAAGCAACUCAUGAUGUUCUAACCUCAAAAUAAUAUUGUUGGAAGAUAAAAAAUGAAGUUCAAUGCUCACUUCUCAGCAGAUGUUUUCACCAAUAUUCUUUUUCAGGAUGGUACUCUUGAGGGCGUGGAGCGGGAGGUUGCCUCCUUAUUUCACCUUCCCCACAAUUUUCAGCUAAUAAUUGAUCACGAGCUUCAACAUGUGGUACACCUUUUUAUAUAUAAAUACAUACUUCAUAUAUUUAAUAUACACACAAACAUCUUUAUAAUAACAUUUCAUUAUAAUAAUAUUAAGUUCUCUUUGAAAUAUUUGGAUUAAAAACAGUACUCCCUCCAUCUGAAAUUAUUAGUCAUGUUAUGCUUAUCAAAAGUCAAUUUAACUAGUUUUCAAAGGUAAAUUGGAUCACUAUAAUUCGAUAUUUUAAAUAAAAAUACUAGAUAUUCUAAAACUAUAUGAAAAGUACUGUAAAUCAUAAUUUUUUUUACAUAUUAAUAUGAUUAAAAAAAUACAUCUAAUAUUAAUAAUUUGAUUCUAAAAAUAGAAAUUAUAACGAACAAUAAUGGAGGGAGUAAUAAUAAAGUUAAUACAAGAAUUUAUCCAUAUACAUGUAACUAAAAUAAAUAAACAAUCUCUAUUAAAUACAUGUUUUUUUUUUGUUUUUGGAAAAAGUUUGUUCCGAAAUUUUCGGCCAAGUAGUUUGACUAGAAAAGGAAAAAACCGGAACUGUCACAACUGCAUAACCUGAAAUUCAGCCGGACAUCUUUUGGACUUCUUUUAUGUGUACAAUUCAUUUAUAUUGCUAUCUAAGAGAUAAUUAAUUUUAAAAUUAAUUAUUUUAUUUUUAAAACUAUAGAAAUGAGUUAUCUGGUCUUAAGAUAAAAACAUGAUUAGCUUCCCUAAAAUAAUCGAAUGUGAUAUUUCCAUCAUUCUUAUAUGUAUGUUGUUUUUAUUAUAAAUAGAUGUUUUUAAAUAUUUUUUCGUCCUUAUUACUUAUUUAAUUUUUCUUUUUUACUUGUCUAUGUUGAUAACUAAAAAAAAAGAAUUUUUUUUUACUUAUUAUACUCUCAAUUAAAUAUUUUUAAAAAAUGAAACUUCUUAAAAAUCUUAAAUUUUAAUUCAUCAUGUCCAUCAUUUUUUUGCAAUAGGUUCGUCAAUUCAAAAGUGAACAAGUACAGAGGAAAUACUCUUGUGUCCAUCUUUACUAUUCCGCUAUACUAAAAAUAAAUGUCCAAUCAAAAAUAUAUGGUCAGUUUAGAAAACUAAGAGAUAAUUUUAUCUUUUUUGUGACUAUUUUACUGUUACUGUUAAAUACAAUUUAACAUCUAAUACAUUUCUCAAAACAUAAAAUAAUAUAUUGAAAGGGUAAUAUAAUGUUAUUAUUCAUAUUAUUUACGUUUUAUUUAUAAGGCGUGUGUCAAGUUAUUGGCCUUAUAAGUAUAUAUUUGACCAAUAUAAAAAAAUUAAAGUGUUCUUUAGAACAUAAAAUCUAAAAUAAAGACAAUAAAAUAAAAACGAAAGAAGUAUAACAACCUCACUAAUUAUUAGUGAGUGUGAGUGCAAUUUAAGAUUGAACCUGCUGGACAAUGAGAAUUCAUUAUUGAAAAGAAAAAAGAAGGUUACCCUCUCCGUUUUAAAAUAAAUGAUGUUUUUAGCUUGAAAAAACUUAUUUUGUGUUUAUAUAUAUUACUUACCCCUACCCUAAUUAAUUAUGUUGAAGAAGUGAUUCUUUAAUGAUGUACAAUCUUAUGUAUUAUAAACAAUAAGAUCAACUAUUAAAAUAAAAAGGCUAAAAAAAUACCACUUCUUUUGAAACAAAGUUUAACCUUCUCCUUUGUAAAAGUUGAGGACAUUAUUUGAUUGAGAUUUUUUUAAACAAAUAAUAUGGAAAAGGGAUAUUUGCAAUUUAAAAUUAUGUUCUCAGUCCUCUCUCGCUGAAA